This 414-nucleotide ribosomal RNA is filed under the name uncultured microorganism. RNAcentral describes it as "bacterial SSU rRNA". It matches the Rfam family "Archaeal small subunit ribosomal RNA", at positions 330 to 745 of the family's 1478-position model. The record is from RNAcentral.
GUGCAGCAGGCGCGAAAACUUCACACUGUGCGGAAGCACGAUGAGGGAAUCCCAAGUGCUUGCACGUAAGUGUAAGCUGUUUCUCUGUCUAAAACGCAGAGAGAGUAAGGGCUGGGUAAGACGGGUGCCAGCCGCCGCGGUAAUACCUGCAGCUCAAGUGGUGACCGUUAUUAUUGGGCCUAAAACGUCCGUAGCCGGUUUAAUAAAUGCCUGGGUAAAUUGUGUAGCUUAACUAUACGAAUUCCGGGUAGACUGUUAAACUUGAGACCGGGAGAAGUUAGAGGUACUCCUGGGGUAGGGGUGAAAUUCUGUAAUCCUAGGGGGACCACCAGUGGCGAAGGCGUCUAACUAGAACGGGUCUGACGGUGAGGGACGAAGCCCUGGGGCGCAAACGGGAUUAGAUACCCCCGUAGU